RNAcentral lists this non-coding RNA (97 nucleotides) under Otolemur garnettii (small-eared galago). The record is from RNAcentral. Lineage: Eukaryota; Metazoa; Chordata; Mammalia; Primates; Galagidae.
GGCUACUUUGAUGUUAAGUGACUUAUCAGUACAAAUUAAUUUAGUGGCAGUAAAGUUAGUAUAUGACUCCCCCACUACUAAAUUUGACUGACCAAAA